This 484-nucleotide ribosomal RNA is filed under the name uncultured bacterium. RNAcentral describes it as "partial 16S ribosomal RNA". It matches the Rfam family "Bacterial small subunit ribosomal RNA", at positions 29 to 507 of the family's 1533-position model. The record is from RNAcentral.
AUUGAACGCUGGCGGCAUGCUUUACACAUGCAAGUCGAACGGCAGCGCGGGCUUCGGCCUGGCGGCGAGUGGCGAACGGGUGAGUAAUACAUCGGAACGUGCCCAGUAGUGGGGGAUAGCUCGGCGAAAGCCGGAUUAAUACCGCAUACGACCUGAGGGUGAAAGCGGGGGAUCUUCGGACCUCGCGCUAUUUGAGCGGCCGAUGGCAGAUUAGCUAGUUGGUGGGGUAAAGGCCUACCAAGGCGACGAUCUGUAGCUGGUCUGAGAGGACGACCAGCCACACUGGGACUGAGACACGGCCCAGACUCCUACGGGAGGCAGCAGUGGGGAAUGUUGGACAAUGGGCGAAAGCCUGAUCCAGCAAUGCCGCGUGUGUGAUGAAGGCCUUCGGGUUGUAAAGCACUUUUGGCGGGAACGAAAAGGACUGUGCCAAUACCACGGUUCGAUGACGGUACCCGCAGAAUAAGCACCGGCUAACUACGUG